This 372-nucleotide ribosomal RNA is filed under the name uncultured organism. RNAcentral describes it as "bacterial SSU rRNA". It matches the Rfam family "Bacterial small subunit ribosomal RNA", at positions 526 to 896 of the family's 1533-position model. The record is from RNAcentral.
CGUAGGGUGCGAGCGUUAAUCGGAAUUACUGGGCGUAAAGUGUGCGCAGGCGGCCGCGCAAGUCGAGUGUGAAAUCCCCGAGCUUAACUUGGGAAUUGCGCUCGAAACUACGUGGCUGGAGUGUGGCAGAGGAAGGUGGAAUUCCACGUGUAGCGGUGAAAUGCGUAGAUAUGUGGAGGAACACCGAUGGCGAAGGCAGCCUUCUGGGCCAACACUGACGCUCAUGCACGAAAGCGUGGGGAGCAAACAGGAUUAGAUACCCUGGUAGUCCACGCCCUAAACGAUGAUGACUAGUUGUUGGAGGAGUUAAAUCCUUUAGUAACGCAGCUAACGCGUGAAGUCAUCCGCCUGGGGAGUACGGUCGCAAGAUUA